RNAcentral lists this ribosomal RNA (429 nucleotides) under uncultured bacterium. RNAcentral's name for it is "bacterial SSU rRNA". It matches the Rfam family "Bacterial small subunit ribosomal RNA", at positions 355 to 776 of the family's 1533-position model. The record is from RNAcentral.
UGGGGAAUUUUGGACAAUGGGGGGAACCCUGAUCCAGCAAUGCCGCGUGAGUGAAGAAGGCCUUCGGGUUGUAAAGCUCUUUUGUCAGGGAAGAAACGGUUCUGGUUAAUACCUGGGGCUAAUGACGGUACCUGAAGAAUAAGCACCGGCUAACUACGUGCCAGCAGCCGCGGUAAUACGUAGGGUGCAAGCGUUAAUCGGAAUUACUGGGCGUAAAGCGUGCGCAGGCGGUUUUGUAAGUCAGAUGUGAAAUCCCCGGGCUCAACCUGGGAAUGGCAUUUGAAACUGCAAGGCUAGAGUGUGUCAGAGGGGGGUAGAAUUCCACGUGUAGCAGUGAAAUGCGUAGAGAUGUGGAGGAAUACCGAUGGCGAAGGCAGCCCCCUGGGAUAACACUGACGCUCAUGCACGAAAGCGUGGGGAGCAAACAGG